GAUGAACGCUGGCGGCGUGCCUAAUACAUGCAAGUCGAACGAACAGGUCAGGCUCUUGCGCCUCUCACGUUAGCGGCGGACGGGUGAGUAACACGUGGAUAACCUACCUAUAAGACUGGUAUAACUUCGGGAAACGGGCUCUAAUACCGGAUAAGAUAUUGAACCACAUGGGUCAAUAGUAAAAUACGGCUGUGCUGGCACUAAUAGCUGCAUCUGCGCCGCAUUAGAUAGUUGGUAAGGUAACAGCUUACCAAGGCAACGAGGCGUUGCCGAACUGAGUGGGUGGUAGGCCACACGGGAACUGGGACACGGUCCAGGCGCCUACGGGAGGCAGCAGUAGGGAAUCGUAGGCAGUGGGCGAGAGCAUGACACAGCAGGGCCGAGUGAGAGAUGACGGUGUUCGGUGCGUAAAGACGUGCUAUUGGGGAAAAACAACUGUGUAAGUAAAUAUGCACGUAUUGACGGUAACGAAUCAGAAAGCACCGGCUAACUACGUG
RNAcentral lists this ribosomal RNA (497 nucleotides) under uncultured bacterium. RNAcentral's name for it is "partial 16S ribosomal RNA". It matches the Rfam family "Bacterial small subunit ribosomal RNA", at positions 28 to 507 of the family's 1533-position model. The record is from RNAcentral.